AGACCCGAAACCCGGUGAUCUAGCCAUGGGCAGGUUGAAGGUUGGGUAACACUAACUGGAGGACCGAACCGACUAAUGUUGAAAAAUUAGCGGAUGACCUGUGGCUGGGGGUGAAAGGCCAAUCAAACCGGGAGAUAGCUGGUUCUCCCCGAAAGCUAUUUAGGUAGCGCCUCGUGAAUUCAUCUCCGGGGGUAGAGCACUGUUUCGGCUAGGGGGCCAUCCCGGCUUACCAACCCGAUGCAAACUGCGAAUACCGGAGAAUGUUAUCACGGGAGACACACGGCGGGUGCUAACGUCCGUCGUGAAGAGGGAAACAACCCAGACCGCCAGCUAAGGUCCCAAAGUCAUGGUUAAGUGGGAAACGAUGUGGGAAGGCCCAGACAGCCAGGAUGUUGGCUUAGAAGCAGCCAUCAUUUAAAGAAAGCGUAAUAGCUCACUGGUCGAGUCGGCCUGCGCGGAAGAUGUAACGGGGCUAAACCAUGCACCGAAGCUGCGGCAGCGACACUCAGGUGUUGUUGGGUAGGGGAGCGUUCUGUAAGCCUGUGAAGGUGGCCUGUGAGGGUUGCUGGAGGUAUCAGAAGUGCGAAUGCUGACAUAAGUAACGAUAAAGCGGGUGAAAAGCCCGCUCGCCGGAAGACCAAGGGUUCCUGUCCAACGUUAAUCGGGGCAGGGUGAGUCGACCCCUAAGGCGAGGCCGAAAGGCGUAGUCGAUGGGAAACGGGUUAAUAUUCCCGUACUUGGUGUUACUGCGAAGGGGGGACGGAGAAGGCUAUGUUGGCCGGGCGACGGUUGUCCCGGUUUAAGCGUGUAGGU
This 813-nucleotide ribosomal RNA is filed under the name Salmonella enterica. RNAcentral describes it as "partial 23S ribosomal RNA". It matches the Rfam family "Bacterial large subunit ribosomal RNA", at positions 711 to 1525 of the family's 2925-position model. Lineage: Bacteria; Pseudomonadati; Pseudomonadota; Gammaproteobacteria; Enterobacterales; Enterobacteriaceae. The record is from RNAcentral.